This 537-nucleotide ribosomal RNA is filed under the name Triticum aestivum (bread wheat). RNAcentral describes it as "partial small subunit ribosomal RNA". Lineage: Eukaryota; Viridiplantae; Streptophyta; Magnoliopsida; Poales; Poaceae. The record is from RNAcentral.
AUGAUGAACACUGAUCCAGUUCAUUGGAGUAGGGCCCACAUGAAGCUGGGGUCUAAUUGUGAUUCAGUUGAUAACAACAUGUGUGAAUCUUUCAACAACUACAUCUUGUUAGCUAGGUACCUUGCUAUUGUCUCCAUGCUUGAGUGAAUCAGGUGCAAAAUUAUGGUGAGGGUACAAGAAAAUAGAGGGAAGUCAGUUAACUGGAAAGGAACUAUAUGCCCAACAUUUAAAAAAAAACUAAAGCAAAACAUAAGGAGAUCAAGUUUCUGUCAUGUGCUGUGGAAUGGGAAAUAUGGAUUUGAAGUGCAAGAAAAUGAGAAAUUCAAAUUUACUGUUAACUUGCAGCUCUGGACUUGCUCAUGUACAUAUUGGCAGCUGUCAGGUUUACCCUGCUUCCAUGUCAUUAGUGUUAUCAAUGAGCCUACAUCUCAACAAUGCUCACAGCCAAGCUCUCAACCCAGAAUUCCACAACAUUGUGUGUUCAACCUUGCUGCAUACAAGGAGGCACUAAAUGCUAAGAAAGGGCCAUCCAUUUGA